CCAGGAUUCUCCUGCGAGUAAAACUACACGUCCCUUCAAGUGCUGGACUUCCUUUCAUCACGUAGGAGCACCUGUAGCACUCUUGCCUAAUAAAGCAUAUUGACUUAUAUGUAAACAGCAGAGCAGCACCUACAAGAAAGAACAAACCAGGACCAGCAAACCCCUUCCAUGGGACACACGGAGUGUCCCAAAAAUACUGGUCAGCUGGGAUUCAAGAAUCAUGCUUUGGCACUCUGGACUCAGCAAAAACCUCCUGGAUUCAAAAGGCAAAUGAGGUGAGAAGAAAAUGCAGCAGAGUCACUUCUCGACCUGGUUUGUCCUUUCUCAUCUGUGCAGCAAAGCAGUGCAUCAAGGAGACCUCAAUAUUGGUGCCAUUUUUCCCACUGGAGUCCUGGAUCUGUUGAAGAGCUGGCUAUGAGUAAUUAGGACAUCAGUACCCUCUCUACAAAAAUCAUGCAGGUUUGUGAGUUUCUCUGGUCCAAGGCUUUCUCCUUCUUUGCCUUGAAAUGAUAAUUUCCAGUAGUCACUCUAAACAGUAGCAAAUCUCAGUCCAAA
Passer domesticus (house sparrow) is the source of this 555-nucleotide long non-coding RNA. RefSeq lists it as uncharacterized. NCBI's taxonomy places the organism in Eukaryota, Metazoa, Chordata, Aves, Passeriformes, Passeridae. The record is from RefSeq and is a predicted model, not a curated record. The transcript has 3 exons.